CCUACGGGUGGCAGCAGUGAGGAAUAUUGGUCAAUGGACGAGAGUCUGAACCAGCCAAGUAGCGUGAAGGAUGACUGCCCUAUGGGUUGUAAACUUCUUUUAUAUGGGAAUAAAAUGUUCCACGUGUGGGAUUUUGUAUGUACCAUAUGAAUAAGGAUCGGCUAACUCCGUGCCAGCAGCCGCGGUAAUACGGAGGAUCCGAGCGUUAUCCUGAUUUAUUGGGUUUAAAGGGAGCGUAGGUGGAUUGUUAAGUCAGUUGUGAAAGUUUGCGGCUCAACCGUAAAAUUGCAGUUGAUACUGGCAGUCUUGAGUACAGUAGAGGUAGGCGGAAUUCGGGGUGUAGCGGUGAAAUGCUUAGAUAUCACGAAGAACUCCGAUUGCGAAGGCAGUUCACUGGACUGCAACUGACACUGAGGCUCGAAAGUGUGGGUAUCAAACAGGAUUAGAUACCCGAGUAGUC
RNAcentral lists this ribosomal RNA (460 nucleotides) under uncultured bacterium. RNAcentral describes it as "partial 16S ribosomal RNA". It matches the Rfam family "Bacterial small subunit ribosomal RNA", at positions 338 to 795 of the family's 1533-position model. The record is from RNAcentral.